UGGAGUAGCCCAAGGUUGCGGCAAUACGGCUUGCGCAAUUCCGCCGCCGAACGUGGUAUUUGGCCAGAAAACUCGGAGGUAACUCAGAUUCUUGCCCAAGAAUGUGGCGGUCGUUGGCGUUUCAAAGUGUUUUCUGGCCAAUGCCAGGCGGGAAAAGCCAAGCUAUUGCCUCGAAAUUGGGUGAAAACAUUUUCCAUAGCUUGCAGCGGAAAAGUGCAAGCGGCGUGACGAAAACUGUGGAAAUCUCGGCGGUGAGUCGUGAUCCGGCUACCUGUCAGGGGAUUACUGGAAGGCAGUCUACCUGAGAUAGCAUAACUGUGCGUUCCAGAGAGCCGAAACUGUUUCCAAAUAAAGCGAAACUGGAGUGAGAGGCAUUCCAAGAAAAUGUGAGGAGUGAGAGCUGUUUAGAAAGAAUACUUGGAAAUCUAAAAUUUUUCUACUCAAAAAUGAUACACCAAAAUGAUGCAGAAGUUGCUGGAAAUAAAGUUAGUGGACAUAAAGUACCUUAACUAAGUCUAGGUUUCCCAGUUCGUACCAACAAUGUUGAGCCUUUUAAGGGGGCCAUUAAAAACUACAAAAUCCGUCCCUGAUUAAACACUCGAACGGUUAUCAAUUUUAGUUGCCUGCCUUGUGCGCCGAAUUCGCCGACCUCAGCACAAAUCACAAAUUCGGAUCGGAGAGAUAUAACUACAUAUGUACGUUUGCAGAGAGGGAGAGCGGAAAUAUCAUUCCAGUCGCCAGCAUUCCAGUUCCAGGCUGACCAGCCGCUUCGCUUCGAGUCGAAACGGUGCGUUCAUUUGAAAACUGAACCGAGAAGCGAGCGGUUGUGUCCGUCCCACGGCCUAGCCUUCACUGUACUGCCAGUCCAGGCUUGACUGUACCUUAAGAACCAUUGUAAUCUGCGCAUUUGAGGUGACAAAUCCAUUGCAUAUUUGUUUACCGUGAUCUACGCAGAGAGAUUAAAACUGUGUCGAUUACCGUGUUAAAUCAACUAAAAACCAGUGUGAUAUUAACCCCGUAAGACUCAGACACGUGCUGCCAAAGACUCCGCUCUUUGGCCAGCUCGCUUUGGAGCCCCAAGUAGCCGAUGCCACGUGUUUGCUCCACAUGCAACGUGUUGGCCGAAGCGAUCUUACAAGGGCUAGAUCUAUUUAACUUAGAACUCGUCCACGAUGGACACAUGCACUCGCUCACUAAUCAGUUCAGAAAUGUAUUUUCAUAUAUGUACAAUAUUUAGUCAGUUGCUGGAUUUUUAUUUCAUGCUGAAACUACAGACUUAAGUUGUCCAGAAAAACUACUAGAAGUACCCUUCGUAAAACUAACAGCAGGAACACGGGAUUUAAGUUAAACUUAUGCUGGCUGGCUAGCAUUUAAUCUUUAAUGCCCUAACCUUAACAAUUUGCGAUGGAAAAA
This is a long non-coding RNA of Drosophila simulans, 1413 nucleotides long. RefSeq lists it as uncharacterized. The record is from RefSeq and is a predicted model, not a curated record. Lineage: Eukaryota; Metazoa; Arthropoda; Insecta; Diptera; Drosophilidae. The transcript has 2 exons.